AUGUGGCGCCUGAACUCAUCCUGUCUGGGAUCGCGUCAAGCUUCAUCUUGUCGGCCUAAUCUUUUCUUAGGCUUCACGUCGCUCCUGUCGACUGGGUACAGCUCUUCUGCACAAUUAAAAGCAGCGAAGGCACUCCAGCCGCUUGGAGAGACGAGGCCUCACAGCUCAAGACUGGUCCAGCAAGGUCCUUUUCAAGGUACAAUAAACAGAAAGCAGCUCUGCAAAGGGAGCAGCAAUAGCUGCUUAAUCAACAAUGGCUUCUACAAGAACGUCCAUCCCAGGAGCACAGCAGAACUGACAACGUAUCAUCUCUAUGACUGCUAGUCCAGCUUCUGGCUGAAAUGGGGCUGCUGUCAUCAGCACACAUGGGGCUGCUACAUGGAAGGAUUUUCUGGAGUAUUCAACCAAAGCCAGUCUGCAGUCCAGGUAAGACCAGCUCCUCCAUGAGAGCCAGGGGGCAUCUUCCAAGUUAUGAGCAGAGGGAUGGUGUGAACAGUGGCUGAUGGUACAAAUUUUUAUUUUGAAUAAAGUCCUGAGUGGGCAUUUAUUCGACUCA
This 556-nucleotide long non-coding RNA is filed under the name Anser brachyrhynchus (Pink-footed goose). RNAcentral's name for it is "lncRNA (ENSABRG00000020239.1)". The record is from RNAcentral. Lineage: Eukaryota; Metazoa; Chordata; Aves; Anseriformes; Anatidae.